RNAcentral lists this ribosomal RNA (468 nucleotides) under uncultured bacterium. RNAcentral describes it as "partial 16S ribosomal RNA". It matches the Rfam family "Bacterial small subunit ribosomal RNA", at positions 28 to 507 of the family's 1533-position model. The record is from RNAcentral.
GACGAACGCUGGCGGCGUGCUUAACACAUGCAAGUCGAACGGAAAGGCCCUGCUUUUGUGGGGUGCUCGAGUGGCGAACGGGUGAGUAACACGUGAGUAACCUGCCCUUGACUUUGGGAUAACUUCAGGAAACUGGGGCUAAUACCGGAUAGGAGCUCCUGCUGCAUGGUGGGGGUUGGAAAGUUUCGGCGGGUGGGGAUGGACGCGCGGCUUAUCAGCUUGUUGGUGGGGUAGUGGCUUACCAAGGCUUUGACGGGUAGCCGGCCUGAGAGGGUGACCGGCCACAUUGGGACUGAGAUACGGCCCAGACUCCUACGGGAGGCAGCAGUGGGGAAUAUUGCACAAUGGGCGGAAGCCUGAUGCAGCAACGCCGCGUGCGUGAUGACGGCCUUCGGGUUGUAAACCGCUUUCGCCUGUGACGAAGCGUGAGUGACGGUAAUGGGUAAAGAAGCACCGGCUAACUACGUG